GCUUGCUAGGAGUGGAGAAGGUGUUAACUUAGUGGCGGACGGGUGAGUAACGCGUGGGUAACCUGCCGUAUGCAGGGGGAUAACACUUAGAAAUAGGUGCUAACACCGCAUAAGCGCACGAGAGCGCAUGCUUUUGUGUGAAAAACUCCGGUGGCAUACGAUGGACCCGCGUCUGAUUAGCCAGUUGGCAGGGUAACGGCCUACCAAAGCGACGAUCAGUAGCCGGCCUGAGAGGGCGGACGGCCACAUUGGGACUGAGACACGGCCCAAACUCCUACGGGAGGCAGCAGUGGGGGAUAUUGCACAAUGGGGGAAACCCUGAUGCAGCGACGCCGCGUGAGUGAAGAAGUAUUUCGGUAUGUAAAGCUCUAUCAGCAGGGAAGAAGAUGACAGUACCUGAGUAAGAAGCCCCGGCUAACUACGUGCCAGCAGCCGCGGUAAUACGUAGGGGGCAAGCGUUAUCCGGAUUUACUGGGUGUAAAGGGAGCGUAGACGGUUGUAUAAGUCUGGAGUGAAAGCCCGGGGCCCAACCCCGGGACUGCUUUGGAAACUGUGUAACUUGAGUACAGGAGGGGCAGGCGGAAUUCCUGGUGUAGCGGUGAAAUGCGUAGAUAUCAGGAGGAACACCGGCGGCGAAGGCGGCCUGCUGGACUGAAACUGACGUUGAGGCUCGAAAGCGUGGGGAGCAAACAGGAUUAGAUACCCUGGUAGUC
This 713-nucleotide ribosomal RNA is filed under the name uncultured bacterium. Its description in RNAcentral is "bacterial SSU rRNA". It matches the Rfam family "Bacterial small subunit ribosomal RNA", at positions 66 to 795 of the family's 1533-position model. The record is from RNAcentral.